UUAAGUGUUCAUCAAAAUAUGGUAAAAAUGAAAAAUAAAUAAAAAUUCAAUUGAAUUGUCCAGUCAAUUUUACGUGGGUAAUGACCAAAAUAAUAAUAAUGAGAUAUGCAUAUGCUUUGUCAGAAAAAAAAAAACACAUAAAGAGAUGGUCAGAUGGAGCUGAGAGAGCGAAAGAACGAAUGCGAGAGUUGUGGGCGUUGUGUCCAAAAUAAGAAUAAAUUCAGGUGAAUAACGUAAAACAUAAACAAAAUGGAGGGUUAUUUUGUAAUACUUGGAAAAAACUAGUUGUCCGUACGCCUGAUUCGGCUACUUGGAAAUGGGCUUAAACGUUUGAGGGCCCAACUUACAAAGUAGAUAAGCAAUGCUCUUCAUUUUUUAUUUUUUUUUCUGAAAAAUGCAAUGGUCGCAUCAUUGUCGAUUGAUGCAUCAAUCAUGAUGCCAUGCACAUCGGUUUUCCAUUAUCUCGAUAACUAUCGCAACGUUUAGUUGAAUACAUGUCUCCAAUAACUUUCAUAUGUAUAAACUAUCAAGAUUUUUUUUUUUUGUUGUCAAAACUAUUAAGAAUCUCAAUAUCGGAUGUUUCUACGGUUCUACCAAAUCCAAAUAUCAUGUAUAUGUACAAAGAAUUUUGUUGAUAUGAAUUAGGGCUGUAUAUAGGGAAUGUGGUUUUCGAUAAGUAUAUAAAUAUCGCCGAAGUGAUGAGUAAA
This 707-nucleotide long non-coding RNA is filed under the name Capsella rubella. RNAcentral describes it as "long non-coding RNA (CRUB_LNC004547)". Lineage: Eukaryota; Viridiplantae; Streptophyta; Magnoliopsida; Brassicales; Brassicaceae. The record is from RNAcentral.